Molecule: long non-coding RNA, 2484 nt
Organism: Triticum dicoccoides
Lineage: Eukaryota; Viridiplantae; Streptophyta; Magnoliopsida; Poales; Poaceae
Exons: 9
Source: RefSeq, a predicted model, not a curated record
CUUUCCGACCCAUCUCCAACCUCCAGCCGUCUUUUAUCCAAAACUCCAAACUCCAAAGGCGCUGCUGCAUCUGGCCUUCUCCACCACACUACGCACACCGCCGGUGGCCGCCGUUCCCUCCUCCCCUGCGCUUGGCUGCUCUCGUCCGCCUGACUGCUGCGGACAGCCAACCCGCCCUGCGCCGGGCCGAGAGCAGUCCCUCCGGCCGGCGGCCACCUGCCGAGAGCAGUCCCGCCGGCCGGUGAGCGCCGCGUGCGCUGAUCUGUCCGACGGCGGCAGAUGCAGUCCUCCAGGCGACCGGCUGCUCAGAUCCGCUGGCUGCAACCGCACGCACUCCCGCCGGUGACGGGACGGACGGCCACUGUGCCGUGCCGCGCUCCUUGCCGUCCGGCGAGGGUCUCCUCCCGCCGGUGGUCAGCUCUGUUUCCAGAGGUCCUCUCCUCCCCCCUCCUCUGUUGCUUUCAGGGCGGGUUAAUUCAUCCUCUCGUCCCCACCAUGGACCGUGAACCGGCCGCGCCAGGAUACCCAAGGUGACAACUAGACUAUGAUUCUUCAUCGGAGCAUGAGUUGUAUAUAUGUGCCUUAAGCUGGGUUCUGUUACUCCCAAAAACGUGUGCCGCCCGCAGUACAACACUCGAUCACUCUAUUUUUGUCUAUGAGAUUGUACAAACUCACACGUUGUGCAACGCAAGUUCGGUGGAGAUCCAAGGCCUCCACCAAUCCCCAAGCAACGCCUCAUGUUUGGAUUCAAGCUGGGUGCGGAAACAACAAGUUACACGUCCAUCCAUGAUGUUAUGUUUUCAUCUUACAACAAGGCCUUCAAAUUCGUCGGCCUCUGUUGGUCCCCAAGCGACGCUCUCAUGUUUGGAUUCAAGGGCUUGUUUGGGACUGCUCUGCUUCACCAAAAUCAAAAUUCACUUUGAAGCAGUUUCAUACAAAAGUUGUAGCACUACCAGAAAGAAUGUUUUGCUUCCAUCUAACUCCAGCAUCAAGAAUGGGAAGUUUGGUGGAAAGGAACUAUUUGAUUGGAUGAGGGGGGAGAAACAAAAUGUAUCCACUUAUUGGUAGCAGUGGUGGGUAAUUUCUCCCCAACUCCCAACUUCUAGAGUUUUUUGGAGCCCCCUGAAGAGUUCAUAACAAACAAACUGAGAAUUGUACCACAGUUUUUUUUUUGCGGAGCAACAUAUCGUGGAGCUACCUCGUUUGGCUUGUAUUUUCUAGAGCGGAGCUGAAUUUUAAGGAGCAAAGCAGUCCCAAACAAGCUCUAAGUUGGGUUCUGAAACAAGAAGCUAUGUGCAGACCCGUCCAUCCAUGAUGUUAUGUUUCAUCUGACAACAAGGCCUUCAAAUUUGGCCUCCAUCAUUCCCCAAGCAACACCUCUAAUGUUUGGAUUCAAGAUGGGUUCUCAAACAACAAGUCAUGUGCAGACAUCCACGAUGUUAUGUUUUUAUCUUACAACAAGGCCUUCAAAUAUGUCGGCCUCCAUUGUUCUCCAAGCGACGCUCUCAUGUUUGAAUUCAAGUUGGGUUGUGAAACAACAAAUUAUGUGCAGGCCUGUCCAACCAUGAUUGUUAUGUUUACAUCUUAAUUACAAGAUGGCCUUCAAAUCCGUUGGCCCCCUCCCUCCCCUCCCCCGCUCGAAGCAGCUCGAAACACCUAACCCUAGCCGCCGCCGCCGCCGACGCCGCCGACGCCGGAGCUCCCUCCAGAAUCCAAACCGCGCAAGGCAUGGCGCAGGACCAGCAGCAGCCGUGGGGAGCCGCAGCUCCGCCCCUCCUCUUCCCGCUGCCGGCGAGGAGAAUCAUCACCGCCGACGACGUCCUGAAAGCCUAUCCCGCGGUGGAGAAGAAGUGGAUCCCUAUCCGUGACUGCGUCCCCCCAGUUGAGGACAUGUACUUCAAGUAUAAGAAGGAAACAGAUGACACUGGUGAUGAAGAUGCAAACCUAGUCAAACGUCAAGUGAUCAACGGCUGCAACUCCCUUGGAAACAAGCGCCGAGAAAUCUGUUAUUAUCUACCAUCCAAGAAGAGGUAUGAGGCCUUGAUCACCAGGUUGGGUAACGAGUUGCAGGGCCUCGAGCACCAGCUCGCCCACAGGAUUGCUGAUUUUCGCACUUUCAUGCCCGACAACCCAUUCGAGAUGCCGGAUCAUUUCAUGAGAUACCCUGAGUUGAUGAAGCCAGUGCCUAAGAAGGCGAAGGCGACUAAGAGGAAGUAGAGCGUUGGCUCUUAUGUCUGGCUGAUUGUUCUGGGUGCAACUUUCUGUCAUCACUUGUGAGUGCCUUGCUGCAAAUUUUGUCUAUGACGACGUUUUGGCUAUUCUGUUUAGCUGAUGAUUACUUGUGAAUUAAAUAGUGAAUGGAUUAUGAGAUAUUUUGUUGUGUAGCCUAUUUGGUUUUGUCUUGUGAUGACGUUUUGGAUUACUUGUGGAUUAAAUGAUGAAUGGAUUAUGAGAUAUUUUGUUAUGUGCCCGACUUGGGAGUAA